RNAcentral lists this transfer RNA (73 nucleotides) under Hoplias malabaricus (trahira). RNAcentral's name for it is "tRNA-Gly". It matches the Rfam family "tRNA". From Rfam's summary of the family: Transfer RNA (tRNA) molecules are approximately 80 nucleotides in length. Lineage: Eukaryota; Metazoa; Chordata; Actinopteri; Characiformes; Erythrinidae. The record is from RNAcentral.
AUCUUUCUAGUAUUUAAAAUUAGUACAAAUGACUUCCAAUCAUUUAGUCUUGGUUAAAAUCCAAGGAAAGAUA